Molecule: ribosomal RNA, 253 nt
Filed under: uncultured bacterium
Lineage: Bacteria
Description: partial 16S ribosomal RNA
Rfam family: Bacterial small subunit ribosomal RNA
Source: RNAcentral
UACAGAGGGUGCGAGCGUUAAUCGGAAUUACUGGGCGUAAAGCGCCCGUAGAUGGCUUCGUAAGUCGGAUGUGAAAUCCCCGGGCUUAACCUGGGAACUGCAUUCGAAACUGCGUUGCUCGAAUGUGGAAGAGGGAAGCGGAAUUCCAGGUGUAGCGGUGAAAUGCGUAGAUAUCUGGAGGAACACCCGUGGUGCAGACGGCUUGCUGGACCAUGACUGACGCUGAGGCACGAAAGCGUGGGUAGCAAACAGG